CAAGCGGAGGAACAUGUGGUUUAUUUCGAUGAUACGCGAGGAGCCUUACCUGGGCUUAAAUGUAGAGUGCAUGAGGUAGAAAUACUUCUUUCCUUCGGGACUCUUUGCAAGGUGCUGCAUGGUUGUCGUCAGCUCGUGCCGUGAGGUGUCGGGUUAAGUCCCAUAACGAGCGCAACCCUUAUCGUUAGUUGCCAGCGGGUAAUGCCGGGAACUCUAGCGAAACUGCCGGUGUAAACCGAGAGGAAGGUGGGGAUGACGUCAAAUCAGCACGGCCCUUAUGUCCAGGGCUACACACGUGUUACAAUGGCCGGUACAGAGGGCAGCUACCUGGAGACAGGAUGCGAAUCUCGAAAGCCGGUCUCAGUUCGGAUCGGAGUCUGCAACUCGACUCCGUGAAGCUGGAUUCGCUAGUAAUCGCGCAUCAGCCAUGGCGCGGUGAAUACGUUCCCGGGCCUUGUACACACCGCCCGUCAAGCCAUGGAAGUUGGGGGUACCUGAAGUCCGUAACCGCAAGGAGCGGCCUAGGGUAAAACCAGUGACUGGGGCUAAGUCGUAACAAGGUAACCUUAAUUAAAAA
RNAcentral lists this ribosomal RNA (577 nucleotides) under uncultured bacterium. RNAcentral's name for it is "bacterial SSU rRNA". It matches the Rfam family "Bacterial small subunit ribosomal RNA", at positions 926 to 1512 of the family's 1533-position model. The record is from RNAcentral.